Molecule: microRNA precursor, 65 nt
Filed under: Monodelphis domestica (gray short-tailed opossum)
Lineage: Eukaryota; Metazoa; Chordata; Mammalia; Didelphimorphia; Didelphidae
Description: microRNA mdo-mir-12375 precursor
Source: miRBase by way of RNAcentral
CCUCCCCCAUGCUUCUAGAGGGCCCUAGUCGGCCGUAAGGGACCCGGAAGUGUGGGGGGGUCGUC